RNAcentral lists this ribosomal RNA (461 nucleotides) under Clinopodium acinos. Its description in RNAcentral is "eukaryotic LSU rRNA". The stretch from base 321 to 461 matches the Rfam family "Eukaryotic large subunit ribosomal RNA", at positions 1 to 141 of the family's 3401-position model. The record is from RNAcentral. Lineage: Eukaryota; Viridiplantae; Streptophyta; Magnoliopsida; Lamiales; Lamiaceae.
UGCAGAAUCCCGUGAACCAUCGAGUCUUUGAACGCAAGUUGUGCCCGAAGCCAUUAGGCCGAGGGCACAUCUGCCUGGGCAUCAAGCAUCAUUUUGCACCCCAUCCCCGCACGCACCGCCAUGAGGUAGGGGGCGGACAAUGGCCCUCCGUGCGCCUCGGCGCGCGGCCGGCCCAAACGGGAUCCUCGGACGGCUGGCGUCGCAACAAGUAGUGGUUGAACAUCUCAAUCUCUCUCGUCGUCGUGCCGCCGUGCCAUCCCGUAUGGGAAUUGAUAACGACCUAACGGUGAGCGGCGCAAGCCGCGUCUCACCUUCGACCACGACCCCAGGUCAGGCGGGAUUACCCGUUGAGUUUAAGCAUAUCAAUAAGCGGAGGAAAAGAACCUUACAAGGAUUCCCCUAGUGAUGGCGAGCGAACCGGGAAAAGCCCAACUUGAGAAUCGGGUGGCCACACCGUCCGA